RNAcentral lists this ribosomal RNA (375 nucleotides) under uncultured bacterium. Its description in RNAcentral is "bacterial SSU rRNA". It matches the Rfam family "Bacterial small subunit ribosomal RNA", at positions 28 to 404 of the family's 1533-position model. The record is from RNAcentral.
GACGAACGCUGGCGGCGUGCUUAACACAUGCAAGUCGAGCGGUAAGGCCCUUUCGGGGUACGACGAGCGGCGAACGGGUGAGUAACACGUGGGUGACCUGCCCUCAGCUCUGGGAUAAGCCCGGGAAACUGGGUCUAAUACCGGAUAUGACUUCAUGACGCAUGUUGUGGAGUGGAAAGCCUUGUGCGGCUGAGGAUGGGCCCGCGGCCUAUCAGCUUGUUGGUGGGGUGANGGCCUACCAAGGCGACGACGGGUAGCCGGCCUGAGAGGGCGACCGGCCACACUGGGACUGAGAUACGGCCCAGACUCCUACGGGAGGCAGCAGUGGGGAAUCUUGCGCAAUGGGCGAAAGCCUGACGCAGCGACGCCGCGUGA